UAGGGAAUAUUGCAAAAUGGGCGAAAGCCCGAUGCAGCAACGCCGCGUGGGCGAUGAAGGCCUUCGGGUCGUAAAGCCCUUUUUGAGGGGAUGAGGAAGGACAGUACCCUCAGAAUAAGCCUUGGCUAACUACGUGCCAGCAGCCGCGGUAAAACGUAGGAGGCGAGCGUUAUCCGGAUUUACUGGGCGUAAAGCGCGUGCAGGCGGAUUGGAGAGUUGGAUGUGAAAGCUCCCGGCUUAACUGGGAGAGGUCGUUCAAUACUUCCAGUCUUGAGUGCAGUAGAGGGAAGUGGAAUUCCGGGUGUAGUGGUGAAAUGCGUAGAUAUCCGGAGGGACACCAGUGGCGAAAGCGGCUUCCUGGACUGUAACUGACGCUCAGACGCGAAAGCUAGGGUAGCAAACG
RNAcentral lists this ribosomal RNA (403 nucleotides) under uncultured bacterium. RNAcentral describes it as "bacterial SSU rRNA". It matches the Rfam family "Bacterial small subunit ribosomal RNA", at positions 355 to 774 of the family's 1533-position model. The record is from RNAcentral.